Molecule: ribosomal RNA, 751 nt
Filed under: Staphylococcus nepalensis
Lineage: Bacteria; Bacillati; Bacillota; Bacilli; Caryophanales; Staphylococcaceae
Description: bacterial SSU rRNA
Rfam family: Bacterial small subunit ribosomal RNA
Source: RNAcentral
ACAUGGCUCAGGAUGAACGCUGGCGGCGUGCCUAAUACAUGCAAGUCGAGCGAACAGAUAAGGAGCUUGCUCCUUUGACGUUAGCGGCGGACGGGUGAGUAACACGUGGGUAACCUACCUAUAAGACUGGAAUAACUCCGGGAAACCGGGGCUAAUGCUGGAUAAUAUUUAGAACCGCAUGGUUCUAAAGUGAAAGAUGGUUUUGCUAUCACUUAUAGAUGGACCCGCGCCGUAUUAGCUAGUUGGUGGGGUAAUGGCUUACCAAGGCAACGAUACGUAGCCGACCUGAGAGGGUGAUCGGCCACACUGGAACUGAGACACGGUCCAGACUCCUACGGGAGGCAGCAGUAGGGAAUCUUCCGCAAUGGGCGAAAGCCUGACGGAGCAACGCCGCGUGAGUGAUGAAGGUCUUCGGAUCGUAAAACUCUGUUAUUAGGGAAGAACAAAUGUGUAAGUAACUGUGCACGUCUUGACGGUACCUAAUCAGAAAGCCACGGCUAACUACGUGCCAGCAGCCGCGGUAAUACGUAGGUGGCAAGCGUUAUCCGGAAUUAUUGGGCGUAAAGCGCGCGUAGGCGGUUUCUUAAGUCUGAUGUGAAAGCCCACGGCUCAACCGUGGAGGGUCAUUGGAAACUGGGAAACUUGAGUGCAGAAGAGGAAAGUGGAAUUCCAUGUGUAGCGGUGAAAUGCGCAGAGAUAUGGAGGAACACCAGUGGCGAAGGCGACUUUCUGGUCUGUAACUGACGCUGAU